CCUACGGGUGGCAGCAGUGGGGAAUAUUGCGCAAUGGGCGCAAGCCUGACGCAGCGACGCCGCGUGAGGGAUGAAGGCCUUCGGAUUGUAAAACUCUGUCAGCAGGGAAGAACGGUCACUGUGCUAUUCAGUAGUGAAUUGACGGUACCUGCAAAGGAAGCACCGGCUAACUCCGUGCCAGCAGCCGCGGUAAUACGGAGGGUGCGAGCGUUAAUCGGAAUUACUGGGCGUAAAGCGCUCGUAGGCGGUAUGUCAAGUCAAGGGUGAAAUCCCCGCGCUCAACGUGGGAACUGCCUUUGAAACUGGCAGGCUGGAGUGUGUGAGAGGGGAGUGGAAUUCCAGGUGUAGGGGUGAAAUCCGUAGAUAUCUGGAGGAACAUCGGUGGCGAAGGCGGCAAUCUGGCACAUGACUGACGCUGAGGAGCGAAAGCGUGGGUAGCAAACAGGAUUAGAUACCCGAGUAGUC
This 465-nucleotide ribosomal RNA is filed under the name uncultured bacterium. RNAcentral describes it as "partial 16S ribosomal RNA". It matches the Rfam family "Bacterial small subunit ribosomal RNA", at positions 338 to 795 of the family's 1533-position model. The record is from RNAcentral.